This 4685-nucleotide unclassified non-coding RNA is filed under the name Hevea brasiliensis (rubber tree). The record is from RNAcentral. Lineage: Eukaryota; Viridiplantae; Streptophyta; Magnoliopsida; Malpighiales; Euphorbiaceae.
AUUUUCCAUCUGUUCGAUGAAAUGCCAACACCGUCCUCCACAAUCGGCUAUCCAAUCCAAGCUCACGAUGAUACCACAGAGGAUAAGGAGACAUAUAUCCUCUAAUCGAAGACUAUAUGAACCUCUCGGUAUAUGCUUCCGGCAUCUCGUCUUAUUCUCCUUCCACCUUCAAAACUCACGAGACAACAAAGCCGACAUCACUCUCUCUCUCUACAAGCAAAACUACUCACAGACCUUCCCUUUUCUCUGUGUUAGCUAGCUAUGGCUAACACCACUACAAUACCCAUCUCCUUUCUUCCCCAUAACAACGCUCUUCUUUCCUCUUUCACCUGCAAAACUCUUCGUUUUUCUUAUUUUAACUCUACCCACUUCAGCAAAUCUCCUUCUUCUCCUCCUUUACUCUCCUUCCCUUCCUCUUCCCAGCAACCGUCGUGGUCUUGUUUCUCAGUCGCCCGCGUUUCUACCGUUCCUGUAGAGUACUCUCCGCCAGCUCCCGAUGAUCAUUUCCACCAAGAAAUUUCCCGACUUAAGUCUCUCCUCUCGAAGCUCGCCGGCUCGGAAUCUCUGUACCAUAAGCUCUUAGUGCUUGAUGCUGAUUCUCGGGUGAAACAUUUCUUCAAUUCGCAUAGAAAUGGGGUCUGUAAGGCUUUGGCUUUGCUUAAUUUGGGUUCGAGAGAGUUGUUUUUGCUUAAGUGUUUAGUGGCGGCUGGGCAAGAGCAUGUGCUUAGUUUGGGGAUUGAAUUGGUGGAGAAUGAGGUGGAGUCUGCGAGGAAUUCGGUGAAGAGUGCGCUUUAUGCGUUGGCGGAGAUGAUUGGGAGGUUUGAUUUCAGUGAGAAUGGAGAGUAUAGUUUAAGGAAGAGUGAUACUGGGUUGUAUUUGAACGAAGAGGAUAUCGGGGACUUGAGAAAGUUGUUGAAGACUUUAGGAGAGAUUGAACAGUUCUAUGAUUGCAUUGGAGGUAUCAUUGGAUAUCAGAUAAUGGUACUGGAGCUUCUUGCCCAGUCAACUUCUGAAAAGCAAACCAUGAAUUGGUCACAUCACAUUCAAGAAUCAAUGGAAUGCCAGUUUUUGGAAAUUCAUGCCCCUAAUGUAGUUGACCUUUCAAAAAAUACAGAGUAUGCGUCUCAAGCAGCUCUAUGGGGAAUUGAGGGUUUGCCAGACCUCGGAGAAAUUUAUCCUCUGGGUGGUUCUGCAGACCGGCUUGGUUUGGUUGAUCCAGACACAGGUGAGUGUCUUCCUGCUGCAAUGCUUCCUUAUUGUGGACGGACUUUAUUGGAAGGCCUUAUAAGAGAUCUUCAGGCUAGGGAGUUCUUGUACUACAAGCUGUAUGGAAAACAAUGCAUCACCCCUGUUGCAAUCAUGACAAGUUCAGCUAAGAAUAACCACGAGCGUAUCACUUAUCUUUGUGAAAGGCUCAGCUGGUUUGGAAGAGGUCGAUCCAAUUUCCAACUCUUUGAGCAGCCUCUUGUUCCUGCUGUUGGUGCAGAAGAUGGGCAAUGGUUGAUAACAAAACCAUUCACACCUGUUUCAAAGCCAGGUGGACAUGGCGUCAUUUGGAAACUAGCUUAUGAUAAGGGAAUCUUCGAGUGGUUUUAUGAUCAUGGAAGAAAAGGUGCAACUGUACGACAAGUCAGUAAUGUUGUGGCUGCUACAGACUUGACCCUUUUGGCAUUGGCAGGGAUUGGUUUACGCCGUGGAAAGGUAGGGUCAGAUAUAUAGGUUGAAGUUGACAAUUUGGUUUUGUCCAUCUGUGCCCCUGGCCCACCGCUUCCCUUAUUCCUUUUUCUUUCUUUUCCUCAUGCGGGGGACUAACAAAAUGAUAUGUGCAGACCAUGGCAUUGGCAAUAUUAAACUAAGGGGUCCAUUACUGCGUAAUUUCUCCACGAUAAUAAGGAUUCAGUAUAUUUUCCAUAUAAUUUGCACGUCUCUAGCUUAACUCUAUUUGUUAUUUUGUUUGCAACUAUGCUGAAUAAUGUUCCGUCUGAUUGAGGGGCUCGAAGUAGAAAGAACCACAACAUUUUUUUUAGUUGAUGCUUAUGGAAGUUGAAUUUGAAGAAUAAAAUUGCAAGUAGAGCCCCGUUGAAAUAGUCUUCUCUCCUGUUGAAUAUAAUCAAGGUUUUGUUAACCUUGAGGGAAAAAUCACCUCUAGUUCUACAAAGAUUCCUUGAAGAUCUGAAUCUUUUUCACCUUGUCUUAGUCGUUACACAUUGUGCAUGCAACAGAAAUUAGGCUUUGCAUCUUGCAAGCGUAACUCAGGGGCCGCAGAAGGAAUCAAUGUCCUUAUCGAGAAGAAGACUCUUGAUGGAAAGUGGGCUUAUGGUCUGUCAUGCAUUGAGUACACAGAGUUUGAUAAGUUUGGAAUCACAAGUGGGCCUUGUUAUUCUAAAAGUUUGCAGGCAGAGUUUCCUACCAAUACAAACAUUCUCUAUGUGGAUUUGUCUUCAGUGGAGUCAGUUGCAUCAAGUGAUGGUGUAAAAAGUUUACCUGGCCUGAUAUUGAAUACAAAGAAGCCGAUUGCAUACAAGGACCAUUUUGGGAACUGUCAUAGUGUCUCUGGUGGCCGGCUGGAAUGCACAAUGCAAAAUAUUGCAGACAAUUUUUUAAAUACUUUUUUGUCCAGAUGCUACCAGGGUGUAGAAGAUAAGCUAGAUACCUUUAUUGUGUAUAACGAACGAAGAAGGGUCACGUCAUCUGCUAAGAGGAAGAGAAAACAUGCAGACAAAUACUUGCACCAGACUCCUGACGGUGCACUGUUGGAUAUCUUACGGAAUGCCUAUGAUCUUCUUUCCCUUUGCGAUAUUGAACUUGCAAAGGUUGAAGGUAAUGACAGAUAUGUUAAUUCUGGACCACCAUUUAUAAUUUUUCUGCAUCCUUCUCUUGGCCCACUUUGGGAGGUCACAAGGCAAAAGUUUUGUGGAGGAUCGAUUUCCAAGGGCUCUGAGCUACAACUUGAGGUGGUGGAGUUCUUGUGGAGGAAUGUCGAGCUCGAUGGGAGCUUAAUUGUUAUUGCUGCAAAUGCAAUGGGCUCAACCAGGAUUGAUGCAAAUGGUGAGACAAUAUUGCAGUAUGGACACAGGUGUGGAAGAUGUAGACUGCAAAAUGUCAAAGUUCUCAAUAAAGGGAUUGACUGGAGUUGUGGCGAAAAUGUGUACUGGAAACAUAGCGUACAACGAUUUGAGGCAUUUAAAGUUAUUCUGCAUGGGAAUGCAGAAUUUGAGGCCAACAAUGUUAUCCUAGAGGUUUGAUUGACAAAACAAGCAUUUACUCUGCACAGGUUAAUUGUAUGGCUUCUACAAAAAGUAAAAUUACAGAGAUUGCCCAGAAUCAUUAGAUGCUAGGAAUUAGAACCUACUGCUAGAGCUCCCACAUAUAAGUUUCAUAUGAUGAAACCUAUAUUCAAUUAGUUACGUCCUUUGUUUUCAAGUAAAAUCCAUCUUCUCUCCAGAAAAAAGAAACAGUUUUUAUAUGUAAAAAACCUGAUGGCUGCAAAUUGUUCAUCUUGGCCAAAUGGAAUGUGGUUGUUACUGUGAACUUCCUGAUUCUGAAGUUGAUUGCUAAUCUUAGCUCUCUUGCUAGCAUUGUAUAUUAAAAAUCUUAUGUUGCUCUACCUUAUCAUUUUUUCCUCUUUUAUUUUUUUUUUUGCUGUGCCAGGGUAAUCAUGUAUUUGAAGUUCCAGAUGGCUACAAAAUGAAGAUCAUAUCAGGAUAUUCAGGUUUGUUAUCGUUGAUAUUAGAACAUCUGAUAGUGCAAGUGUUCCCAGCAGCUACCUUUGAUCUCAAUGUACGCACCCUGACAUCCACACACAGGUCACACGUGUCGCUGUAUGUUUGCAUUAUAAUCAUACAAUUGAAGGCUAUCUGCAUCAAUGGUUACCUUGGAAAAUGGAUAUGAAUGAUAGUAUAUGGCAUUCUUCCUCCUCAUCUGGCUUAAUGACCAAAAUGAGAAAGCAGGUUGCAUGCUGUACAUCGGUGUAUCUCUUAUUUGAGGAUUUUAGUUUCAGUGCAAGUCAAAUAUGCCAACCUCUGUCCAAGUACAUGUGCUUGGAUCCUAGAGCCAGGCUCACCGUUUUCUGUCUAAUGUUCUACAUAGUUCCAAGGGAACCUGCGUCCGUAAUUAUGCUUCUACUACUAAAAUUUGCUGAAGUUUUACAAUGUAGAGGAAACUAGGCUAGAGAUUUUAGUCUUUUCUAACUUAUCCACAUAAUCUUGAGUAUGACUAAACUGUGAAAGCGUUUGAUAUAUAUCCCACUAUUGCUGUAUCCAUUGAAACCUUACUAAUCAACCAUUCAUAUUUUCCGUUCAACGCAGGCUUGGAAGUCCAGGUCAACCCCAUAGAACCAAAUAUGAUGGAAACUGGAAGCUGGUUUUGGAACUACAAGAUAAAUGGCACACACAUUCUUUUGGAAUUGGUAGAGUUGUAAAUAUUAGAAUUUCUGUAAUAUCGCUCUGUGAAUCUUCGUUCACAAAUCAAACUCGGAGCGCAUCUUCACAUCAUGAUUGGUUGUAACAUAAGUUAAACCAUCUGAAAUCUAGUAGUAAUAUGUCUUAAGUUAGAGCCUUGUAAGACCUGUAUGGUCCUGGUUAGCUGUUUUAAUAUUUCCUUUUCUUGCUGGAGCUGUGUAAAUCCAGUGUGCAAACAGUGUAAAAUUCUGAAGCAAUAAAAAUUACGCAGUUUCUUUUUAAAAA